RNAcentral lists this transfer RNA (241 nucleotides) under Paenibacillus baekrokdamisoli. RNAcentral describes it as "tRNA-Ala". Lineage: Bacteria; Bacillati; Bacillota; Bacilli; Caryophanales; Paenibacillaceae. The record is from RNAcentral.
GGGACCUUAGCUCGGCUGGGAGAGCGCAUCGCUGGCAGCGAUGAGGUCAGGGGUUCGCCCGCGCGGACGUAAUGAAGCGAGAUAGCUUCCAAGCAAUCUCGUCUAAUGCAGGAGCACGGCGUCUGAAUCUACCGCUAAAAGUCCUCGCCCGAGUAAGCUUCGUCAGCUAUAUAAUCAAAGAUUCAUACAUCCCAUAUGGAAAGACGAGUUUGUGCAAGUCAUAUCCCGCUAGUCUCCACCA